Molecule: ribosomal RNA, 119 nt
Filed under: Pteropus alecto (black flying fox)
Lineage: Eukaryota; Metazoa; Chordata; Mammalia; Chiroptera; Pteropodidae
Source: RNAcentral
GUUUAUGGCCAUUCCAUCCUGAACAUACCCAAUCUCGUCUGAUCUAGGAAGCAAAGCAGGGGCGGGCCUGGUUAGUACUUGAAUGGGAGACCACCUAGGAAUACCAGGUGCUGUAGGCA